This 815-nucleotide non-coding RNA is filed under the name Enterobacter mori. RNAcentral's name for it is "antisense RNA of rseC mRNA". It matches the Rfam family "antisense RNA of rseC mRNA". Lineage: Bacteria; Pseudomonadati; Pseudomonadota; Gammaproteobacteria; Enterobacterales; Enterobacteriaceae. The record is from RNAcentral.
CCUGGGCUGCCAUUUCACGAUCAGACAGGCCACCGCAAAUCUGGAUAAUACGGUCAGACAGCGUCGACUUACCGUGGUCAAUGUGAGCAAUGAUCGAAAAGUUACGUAUGUUCUUCAUAUAGUUAAAUAAUUAUGCCUUACGAAUUCCUGGAGGCCGCUGUUCUUAGCCUGACGUUUUUCAGUGCGAAAACGCAGCAUUCUACACUACAUCCCCGCAACCUGGAAAUGCACUUAGAGCCAAGCAUAGCGCGAAGAAACGGCGUUUUCUUUUUUGAGAUGUAAAUAAUGAUAAAGCCCGGUGGAUCACCGGGCUUCAGAAGAGAGCGUCUCGACACGAAGCUGGUCAGGCGCGAGUGCAACAUUGAGGAUAACGGGUUGCCACUCUUCACGUGCAGCGAGCUUUGGCGACAGGCCUUUGGCAAGCCAAAAUCCACCUACGCCACCCAGUGCAGCACCACACAUGGCAGCCAAAUCGGUGCCAAACAACGUCUGGAAAAUACCGCCCAUAACAAACAAACCAACCAGUGGGGAGAGAUAAACCAGCAUCGCGGAGGUCAACAGACUGCCUUCUGCGAUGCCCAGUUCCACCUUCUGCCCUGCCACCAGCGGCUGUUCGCUCGGGACGGCGAUCGUAUGCGACGUUUGCGGCCCCAGCUUGUUGAGCACGCGACUGCCGCAACCCGCUCUGGACGCGCAGCUGUUACAUGAUGCUUUUACGUCACAGUUCACCAGCGCAACGCCAUCCUGCCACGAUACGACCGUAGCCCACUCUUUAAUCAUUGCGCAGCCUUGAAUUUAAUGCUGUCGGAAAUGCG